RNAcentral lists this long non-coding RNA (1501 nucleotides) under Macaca mulatta (Rhesus monkey). RNAcentral's name for it is "lncRNA (ENSMMUG00000050563.1)". The record is from RNAcentral. Lineage: Eukaryota; Metazoa; Chordata; Mammalia; Primates; Cercopithecidae.
CAUCAGGAUUAUCAGCCUGGUAACUCCUGGCCAAAGAAAUGCACACUCUUCAUUUGGCUAAAAUAAUUUCCAAUGUUCCUAAAGGAAACACAACUUGUGGAUUCUCCAAGCGGGAGAGGAGAAUCAUGUUCCAGUCUAUUGACUAACGAAGGGCUCAGGUUUCAAAGACCCUCUGUCCUUUGGCCUAUACUGGAGUCUGACUUGUCCAGCGGCACGUUGUCCUCGUGGUGAAUUCUGUUAUCAGGCUAAUUGGAUCAUUUAUACUAAAUAAAUAACUGCAUUAUUAUCAGGGAAGAAUUUGUGAAGUUCUAAAUACCUAGUGGAGAGCAUCUAUUCACUAGUGUUAGCUUUUUAAUGCUCUGAGGAAAGAUAAUUGGUAAUUGGCAACUCUGUAACUCUGUUUUUUUUUUUUUUUAAACCUACUCAAACAUUUUGAUGAAGAAAAAUUUUUUACUAGAAAAAAGGGAGGGACAAUAGCAAAAACAGAUAAACAGGCAGCUUUAUUGGUUGACCUUCUAUGUAUUAAAAGCAUGUCUCUGACUCUGCAAGUAAAUAUAAAUUUGUGGUUAUGCAUAGGAAAGCUUAACUAUUUCACACAUAAGGUCAAGUACUCAGAUGGCCAUAGUUUGCAAAAGGGUCACAUGUACAUUAGAAUUCAAAAUAUAAGUAUCUGCUAAGAUAAACUUUUAAUUAAAUGUUUGUGAUGUUUGACUUUUCCUUGCCAGAUAAAUAAAAUCCAGCCACUGACUAAUUAAGUAGAAAACUUGAGCACUGAGACAGGACACAGAAAAACAAAAAUAAUUUAUUCAGUGAUUUUGCCUUUCUUAAUGAGGCCAGGAUAUGUUACAGGGGGUGAAUUUGCUUCAGACUAAAGUGUUUGAAGAGUAUGAACCACCAAAAACACAGAGUCAACCCAUGUAAGAAUCCACAAAUGCACACACACACAUAUUCCUCAAAAACAUCAGGCAUUAAAUGUCUAGGGUUUUAAAAAUAUAUAUCAGUUCUUAAAAUGACUCCACAGAAAUGACAAAUCUGAAAUUCUAACUAGUGGCUAAGGCCUCUAUUUUAUGACUCAGACUUUCUGUUCUUGUCAGAGGAAUGGAAAGGAGAGCAGUACCUCUUAGUUUAGUUUCUCCUCAAAUCUACUUAUCAGCUAAGAUUACAGUGAAGGUCACAAUUAUAAAAUGGUUGAAUUCUCUCUAUUUUAGGCAGUGGAAGAUACACUUUGAUUGUUUUAUUUAAUUUCCUUACAAGGGACAAGCCAUUAAUGCAUUUCUUAUUUUUUUAGAACUUAGUUUUCAAAUCUACCUGGAUCAUUCAGUGUCCUUUCUUGCUUUGGGGGUAAUUUUGGAAAAUCCAUUGCAAGCAGAUCAUGAAGACGAUAAAGAAAAUGCAGCUAGUUUGUUCCAAGUCCUUCAGUUCACUGCAUUUUAUUGUGUUAUAAAUUUCAUAUUUUCAACUUGGACUCUCCUCUAGCUCCUCUGUCCCACCUCCCUCCCAC